RNAcentral lists this ribosomal RNA (253 nucleotides) under uncultured bacterium. RNAcentral describes it as "partial 16S ribosomal RNA". It matches the Rfam family "Bacterial small subunit ribosomal RNA", at positions 524 to 776 of the family's 1533-position model. The record is from RNAcentral.
UACGUAGGGUGCGAGCGUUAAUCGGAAUUACUGGGCGUAAAGCGUGCGCAGGCGGUGAGCUGUGUCCGAUGUGAAAGCCCCGGGCUUAACCUGGGAAUGGCAUUGGAAACUGGCUCGCUGGAGUGUGGCAGAGGGGGGUGGAAUUCCACGUGUAGCAGUGAAAUGCGUAGAGAUGUGGAGGAACACCGAUGGCGAAGGCAGCCCCCUGGGUCAACACUGACGCUCAUGCACGAAAGCGUGGGGAGCAAACAGG